This 200-nucleotide ribosomal RNA is filed under the name uncultured prokaryote. RNAcentral's name for it is "partial 16S ribosomal RNA". It matches the Rfam family "Bacterial small subunit ribosomal RNA", at positions 1183 to 1382 of the family's 1533-position model. The record is from RNAcentral.
CGUCAAAUCAUCAUGCCCCUUAUGUCCUGGGCUACACACGUACUACAAUGGCGGUUAACAACGGGAAGCGAAGUCGCGAGGCGGAGCAAAACCCCAAAAGCCGUCCCAGUUCGGAUUGCAGGCUGAAACUCGCCUGUAUGAAGUCGGAAUUGCUAGUAAUCGCGGAUCAGCAUGCCGCGGUGAAUACGUUCCCGGGCCUU